AAUGAUUUAAAGGUCGAACAGGCCUAAUAAUUGAACUUCUACACCCAAUCUUAUCCUUUAAUCCAACAUCGAGGUCGCAAUCUUCCUUGUCGAUUAGAAUUCUCAAAGAAAAUUACGCUGUUAUCCCUAAGGUAACUUAAUAUUUCAAUCACUAAUAAUGGAUCAAUAUUUCAUACAUCAAUAGUAGAAAUCUAUAUCAUUUAUAAAGCUCUAUAGGGUCUUCUUGUCCUCCAAUUACAUUUAAGCUUUUUAACUCGAAAAAUAAAUUCUACUUAUUAAAUUGUAGACAGUUAAUACCUCGUUAAACCAUUCAUUCCAGCCUCCAAUUAAAAUAGUAAUGAUUAUGCUACCACUGUACAGUCAAAAUACUGCAGCCCUUCAAUUUACAUUUCAAUGGGCAGGUCUGACCUUAUAUUAUCUUCAAAUGAACAUGUUUUUGUUAAACAAGGCGGG
Molecule: ribosomal RNA, 453 nt
Filed under: Pristoceuthophilus pacificus
Lineage: Eukaryota; Metazoa; Arthropoda; Insecta; Orthoptera; Rhaphidophoridae
Description: partial 16S ribosomal RNA
Source: RNAcentral